UACGGAGAGUGCAAGCAUUAAUCGGAAUUAUUGGGCGUAAAGGGCGCGUAGGCGGAAAGAUAAGUCAGAUGUGAAAUUCCAAAGCUCAACUUUGGAGCUGCAUUUGAAACUGCCUUUCUAGAGGGUUGACGGAGAAAACGGAAUUCCACGUGUAGCGGUGAAAUGCGUAGAUAUGUGGAAGAACAUCGGUGGCGAAAGCGGUUUUCUAGUUUAUACCUGACGCUGAGGCGCGAGAGCAAGGGGAGCAAACAGG
Molecule: ribosomal RNA, 253 nt
Filed under: uncultured bacterium
Lineage: Bacteria
Description: partial 16S ribosomal RNA
Rfam family: Bacterial small subunit ribosomal RNA
Source: RNAcentral